RNAcentral lists this ribosomal RNA (403 nucleotides) under uncultured prokaryote. RNAcentral's name for it is "bacterial SSU rRNA". It matches the Rfam family "Bacterial small subunit ribosomal RNA", at positions 355 to 774 of the family's 1533-position model. The record is from RNAcentral.
UGAGGAAUUUUGCGCAAUGGGAGCAAUCCUGACGCAGCAACGCCGCGUGGGUGAUGAAGGCCUUCGGGUUGUAAAGCACUUUUUGAGGGGAUGAGGAAGGACAGUACCCUCAGAAUAAGCCUCGGCUAACUACGUGCCAGCAGCCGCGGUAACACGUAGGAGGCGAGCGUUAUUCGGAUUUACUGGGCGUAAAGCGCGUGCAGGCGGCUCGAUAAGUUGGAUGUGAAAGCUCCCGGCUUAACUGGGAGAGGUCGUUCAAUACUGUCGGACUAGAGGAUGAGAGAGGGAGGUGGAAUUCCGAGUGUAGUGGUGGAAUGCGUAGAUAUUCGGAGGAACACCAGUGGCGAAAGCGGCCUCCUGGCUCAUAUCUGACGCUCAGACGCGAAAGCUAGGGUAGCAAACG